AUGUCUACCUGUCUGUGGUUGAUUCUUCAUGUCUACCUGUCUGUAGUUGAUUCUUCAUGUCUACCUGUCUGUGGUUGGUUCUUCAUGUCUACCUGUCUGUGGUUGGUUCUUCAUGUCUACCUGUCUGUGGUUGAUUCUUCAUGUCUACCUGUCUGUCAUUGGUUCUUCAUGUCUACCUGUCUGUAGUUUUCAUACACUUUCUUGUGGUUCAAUGUUCAUUCUGCUAGUUUACUAGAGCUGUCAAAAAGGCAAAACUCUUUUUGUGUGUGCGUUGGGACACAAAUCCAGAGUAGGAAUGUGAUGAACAAGUGCUCUGUCACUCAUUUGUAUCCCAGCCCUCUCAAGUUAUUUUUAAACUUAGUAAAAUGUUAGGUUCAUUCAACUUGCUAAGCAAACAGUGUUGGUACAAACCUAAAUGUGGAAGAUAUUUUAUUGGUUGUGUAGAGGGUAACUUUCUUUCUUCUCUCUCUCUCUUUGAAGUAGUAUUUCAAAAUAAUUAAUUUUUUAUUUGAACCCAAUUAAGCAUAUUAUCAAGGAUUAUAGCAAUUGUUUUAAAUGGAUAAGUAAAAAAGAAGGUGCAUUCCAGGGACUGUGAGCAAAGAACUUGGAUCCUUGACAGUUCUCCACCUGCCCUGUGGUUAACAUUGUUGCUGAACAUUUACUACAACACGUAACUAGGGUGAUAAUUAAUCUUUUUUGAGAAAAGAUUUAUUUUCAUUAUUUUUUCAGUUAUGUGUGUCUAUGCAUGGGUAUGAGCACAUGAGUGGACGUGGCCACAGAGGCAAGAAGUGUCAGAUCCCCUGGAGCUGGAGUUAGAGGUGGUUUGUAAGCCAUCUAAUGAGGGGGCUAGGAACCGAACUCAGGACCUCUGCAAGAGCAGCUCAUGCUCUCAGACUCUGAGUUAGCUCUCCAGCUCUUAAUCACUUUCUUAAAAAAAUAACAUUUUAUUAAUUGUUUGUGAAAUUAACAUACUUUUAUCAUAAUCUCCUUCCAGACUCUCCCUCCCCUCCUCCUCUCCCCACCCACUCAACUCUUUCUGUCAUUUCUCUCUCCAAACCAUGGAGUCCGAUUUAUGUCACCCAAACUCUCCUGGGUGUGAAGCCUGCCCUGAGCACAGUCACACCCUUAAAACAAAGUAAAAUUAUUCUCCAUGAAUCAUCCACCUUUCAAAGCAUCAAAUUUAUCUCCCUUUUUCCUGUAAAAGAAAGGUUAAGCCUAGCUUUUACUUCCUAAAACAAAGGGCCCUGUAAUUAAGUAUUUGCAAUCAGAUUUCUAGGUUGGCAGUCUGAAAACACGCAGGCUGCAGCUGGCCAGCUGUGGCAAAAGCCGAUUUUUUCUUCUUCAGUGGUCAAGUUGAUUUUCAAAAGGGAAUUACCAUGCAAAUUAGCCUUACCACAGUGUCGCUGUACCUAACAGUUUAGUCUGUGUGUAGCGCACGGCCCAUCUUCAGAGCAUUCUAUGCUGAGAAGCCACUGAUAACACCUCUCUUGAAUUGGAGAUGCUGUGUGUUUGAAUUUCUUAUUUGUGAAGAUGGAAGGUUACUUAACUGCAAAAUUACCAAGAUUUUUAAAAAACUGUAUUUUGAGAAGGAGGGUCUCAUUAUGUGCCAGCUGGCCUAGAAUUAGUGUAUUUCUCCCUGAGCCUUCCAAAGGCUGGUCACAGGUAUGUGUCACUACACCAGACUAAAAUGACCUUUUAAAACUUUUAUAAGCAAUGUUUAGAUAUCCUGUGUUGGCUUAGGAAUACUCAGGAAAUUCAUCUGAUAUGGGGAUAUCAAGUGUCCCAAAGUGAGUUUUGAGAAAACAGAGUGCUAGUCUGGACACAUUCAUGAAUUUUGAUGAGUCUAAACAUUUUACUUGUUUGUUUUCUAUUUUUCAGGCUGAGAGAUGAUUGUUGUAUGUGAUUUUGUUUUUUAAUGUAAACUCAGAUCUAAGAAGGACCUAGCUGGGACAAGAUAACAUCACCCAUACUCUACUCUGCUCCCCUUGUCCUUAAGUGUGGCCUGCCACCAGGACAACUGUGUAAGGCACAAAGGAGAAAUGCUGGUGGAGGAUGUCAGAUUUUCUGUAGAAAUGUCAUUCCAGGAAAUGUAUUUUUUUUUUUAACAAUGGGAUGCUAUGAGUGUAUUAGAAGUUGCUAUGGCAGAGUAUCCUGUUCUGAUUAUGAUGCUAUGGAAUGGGACAACAGAGCAGAGCAGAGGUGGGAAGAGGUAGGCUUUCUUCUUCCCAGUGAAGUCUGCAGUGGGUCAUGAGACUGCUGAAGCCUGUUGACAUGCAAGCGUGUGGCGUUGCAGGCCGUCACGUAGCCUUGCCAUUGUCGCCGCCGCUGCCGCCAUCAUCUGUCACCAUCACUGCCAGGACUUUCUCACUUCCCAGGGCACAGACUCCUCACUCUUCUCUCCUAGGCGCUGGCACUCCCGCUCUUUUUUUCCAUCUCUGUGAGUUCCAUGUUUCUAUGGAGCGUGUGCUUGAUGUGGUGACUCUUCCGUAUCGCUGCCCGGCUUCCGUAGUGUGCAGAUUCGUUUGGACACAUAGACGUUCAGUUUGUAUUUUCCUAGGAGUAGACUUGCUGGGCCACGGGAAAGCUCUAACUUAUGGAAGAAGAUAAUGUAAUGGGUCUUCUGCUUUGCCCAGGGAAGAGAGAUUCACAGGGGCAAAUCUAGAGGGAUUAUCCAACAUGACCAGGAAUGUUAAAUGAA
Non-coding RNA from Peromyscus maniculatus bairdii (prairie deer mouse), 2698 nucleotides. Lineage: Eukaryota; Metazoa; Chordata; Mammalia; Rodentia; Cricetidae. The record is from RefSeq and is a predicted model, not a curated record.